This 28-nucleotide non-coding RNA is filed under the name Bombyx mori (domestic silkworm). Lineage: Eukaryota; Metazoa; Arthropoda; Insecta; Lepidoptera; Bombycidae. The record is from RNAcentral.
UGCAAUUGGAGUCACUAGAGGUCUUAUC